Octopus sinensis (East Asian common octopus) is the source of this 170-nucleotide long non-coding RNA. RefSeq lists it as uncharacterized. The transcript has 3 exons. The record is from RefSeq and is a predicted model, not a curated record. Lineage: Eukaryota; Metazoa; Mollusca; Cephalopoda; Octopoda; Octopodidae.
UGUGCUCUUCCGAUGUUCGUGAUCGACGCGGGCUGAUGACCCGCGCCUACCGGGAAUUCCUCGUUCAUGGGGUUGGUUCCAGGCCCCGAUCCCUAUCACGGGAGGUGGUUCAGAGGUUUCCCGACCCUCUCGGGCCGGGGGAGACGCGCCCGCUGAUACCUCCAGUGUAG